RNAcentral lists this transfer RNA (597 nucleotides) under Brucella anthropi. RNAcentral's name for it is "Ochrobactrum anthropi partial contains 16S rRNA, ITS1, tRNA-Ile, tRNA-Ala and 23S rRNA". The stretch from base 127 to 200 matches the Rfam family "tRNA". The record is from RNAcentral. Lineage: Bacteria; Pseudomonadati; Pseudomonadota; Alphaproteobacteria; Hyphomicrobiales; Brucellaceae.
CAAUCUUUCGCUCACGCGCUGAGCGCAUUCUUUGAAUGCGAGCGAUGCGCGAGCGCGGCCCAGAUGGGCGCGACGGACUAGCGUCCUGUAUUGGUGCUGAAUGAUUUAUUGGUUGGCUGGAUACAAGGGCUUGUAGCUCAGUUGGUUAGAGCACACGCUUGAUAAGCGUGGGGUCGGAGGUUCAAGUCCUCCCAGGCCCACCAAAUAUGUGAUAAGGGGCCAUAGCUCAGCUGGGAGAGCACCUGCUUUGCAAGCAGGGGGUCGUCGGUUCGAUCCCGUCUGGCUCCACCAUCACUUUGUUUGGUGUGGAGUAGGACGGCAGUCAAUCAUCGAGGAAAGAAGCCAGUUUGCGGACUUUACGAAGUCUGCCUGUUCUGUAUGAAAUCGUGAAGAGAAGAAGUAAUCGGAUCAACUAUCCAGUUGAUGUCGCAAUGGUUUGCUCAAACCUUGCAUUAUGAUUGGACGCUAACCGCGCCACCGAUUGUAUCUCGAGAAGCUGGUCUUUCUGCUGAUAACGUUGAAGCUGAACAAGCAUUUGCAGUCAAAUGGCAACAUUUGACGUGGCAUAAUGCGUUGUAAGAAUGUUUGAUGGAUAUG